This 497-nucleotide ribosomal RNA is filed under the name uncultured bacterium. RNAcentral's name for it is "partial 16S ribosomal RNA". It matches the Rfam family "Bacterial small subunit ribosomal RNA", at positions 28 to 507 of the family's 1533-position model. The record is from RNAcentral.
GAUGAACGCUGGCGGCGUGCCUAAUACAUGCAAGUCGAGCGAACGGACGAGAAGCUUGCUUCUCUGAUGUUAGCGGCGGACGGGUGAGUAACACGUGGAUAACCUACCUAUAAGACUGGGAUAACUUCGGGAAACCGGAGCUAAUACCGGAUGAUAUUUUGAACCGCAUGGUUCAAAAGUGAAAGACGGCCUUGCUGUCACUUAUAGAUGGAUCCGCGCUGCAUUAGCUAGUUGGUAAGGUAAUGGCUUACCAAGGCAACGAUGCAUAGCCGACCUGAGAGGGUGAUCGGCCACACUGGAACUGAGACACGGUCCAGACUCCUACGGGAGGCAGCAGUAGGGAAUCUUCCGCAAUGGGCGAAAGCCUGACGGAGCAACGCCGCGUGAGUGAUGAAGGUCUUCGGAUCGUAAAACUCUGUUAUUAGGGAAGAACAUAUGUGUAAGUAACUGUGCACAUCUUGACGGUACCUAAUCAGAAAGCCACGGCUAACUACGUG